Molecule: ribosomal RNA, 429 nt
Filed under: Verrucomicrobiota bacterium
Lineage: Bacteria; Pseudomonadati; Verrucomicrobiota
Description: Verrucomicrobia bacterium partial 16S ribosomal RNA
Rfam family: Bacterial small subunit ribosomal RNA
Source: RNAcentral
UAGGGAAUCUUCCGCAAUGGACGAAAGUCUGACGGAGCAACGCCGCGUGAGUGAAGAAGGAUUUCGGUUCGUAAAACUCUGUUGUUAGGGAAGAAAAAAUGUAUAGUAACUAUAUACAAAAGAGACGGUACCUAACCAGAAAGCCACGGCUAACUACGUGCCAGCAGCCGCGGUAAUACGUAGGUGGCAAGCGUUGUCCGGAAUUAUUGGGCGUAAAGCGCGCGCAGGUGGUUUAGAAAGUCUGAUGUGAAAGCCCACGGCUCAACCGUGGAGGGUCAUUGGAAACUAAUAAACUUGAGUGCAGGAGAGAAAAGUGGAAUUCCUAGUGUAGCGGUGAAAUGCGUAGAGAUUAGGAGGAACACCGGUGGCGAAAGCGGCUUUUUGGCCUGCAACUGCCACUGAGGCGCGAAAGCCAGGGAAGCGAACGGG